RNAcentral lists this ribosomal RNA (567 nucleotides) under Triticum aestivum (bread wheat). RNAcentral describes it as "partial small subunit ribosomal RNA". The record is from RNAcentral. Lineage: Eukaryota; Viridiplantae; Streptophyta; Magnoliopsida; Poales; Poaceae.
AUGAUUCCGAGGUUGGAUCUGAAAAUGAGCGCUUGGGUCAUGAGGAAGGCAAAUCCUCGGUGUCGUGUAAUUGAAAUAGACGAAGAGAAGAAGAUUGCUUUCACAGCUGAAGAUUUCCACAAGGUUUUCGGCGUCCCGUGUGGGAACCGUGAUGUGUGUGGCAGGGAUGCACAAAUUGCUGCUCCGGCAAUCAAUUUUAUCAAGCGUACAAUUGGUAUGGAUGGUUCAGUUGCUCAAAAUUUGAAAGCGGCUGAAAGCUUCAUACACAGAGAGCUUUCUGAGGAUUCUAGUAAGAUGAAGAAGGAUUGCUUUCAGAUUGCUUUUGUAGUUUUUGUGUUGGGUUACCUGAUAGCACCGUGCACGAAGUAUGACUCGAUGACAAUUGAUUUCUGGGGUGCUCUGUCCAACCCGGAAUUGAUAGCACAAUUCAGUUGGUGUGAAUAUGCUAUCCAGAAGCUGAUGGCAGCUGUAUCGAAGGUGCAGAAUGAUUAUCAGAGCAAAGCAGCAACGGUCCAUCUCUUCGCGUGCCAUUUUUUCUUCCAGAUAUUCUUGCUGGAUAACAUUUAG